This 560-nucleotide long non-coding RNA is filed under the name Heterocephalus glaber (naked mole-rat). RNAcentral's name for it is "lncRNA (ENSHGLG00100042738.1)". The record is from RNAcentral. Lineage: Eukaryota; Metazoa; Chordata; Mammalia; Rodentia; Bathyergidae.
CAGGGCCUACAACUUAAAAAAAUGAAACAGACUUGGCAGUAAUGGAAAUAUAAGAAAUAAUGGAGACUGAAGAUUUGGAAGUUAUGUACAUUAUCAAAUGGGAAAUGCUGGUAUUUCAGUUCCAACUAUGUAUUCCCAGUUUGUGAGAUAGGAUUCCUGUAGGAACAUGAUGUGCGCAGACUCAGGUGUGGAAGACUGCAUGGUGGAGUUCCAAAGGAUCUAGCUGCAAGGAGAAGGCCUGGAGCUCACCACAGUGUCCUGUGAGAAUCUGCAUCAGGAGGCUGGAGGGCCUGCACUGCAAGACUGAAGUAUCUAUGCUGGAAGCCAGGAGAUGGACAUCCCAGGUGAAGGCGAACCCUGGAGCUCCUCUGAAGAAACAAAAGAGUCAUUUGAGUGAUGCAGAAGACAGUAAGACAAAGCAUCAAAUUUCUUAAUCUUGCAGUAUAUAAAGAUGAAGGAUAUCACCCAUGUCCGUAAGAUGUUUAGAAGAUAGAGGUGAGAUGGAUCUACAAUGACUAAGGUAAAAGAAAAAUUUUGUACAUCAUGUGCAGUAGAACCAG